This 253-nucleotide ribosomal RNA is filed under the name uncultured bacterium. RNAcentral's name for it is "partial 16S ribosomal RNA". It matches the Rfam family "Bacterial small subunit ribosomal RNA", at positions 524 to 776 of the family's 1533-position model. The record is from RNAcentral.
UACGAAGGGUGCUAGCGUUGUUCGGAAUCACUGGGCGUAAAGCGUACGUAGGUGGUCUUGUAAGUCGAUUGUGAAAUCCCCAAGCUUAACUUGGGAAUUGCAACCGAAACUGCUCGGCUAGAGUGUGGUCGGGGAUAGUGGAAUUUCUAGUGUAGGGGUGAAAUCCGUAGAUAUUAGAAGGAAUACCGGUGGCGAAAGCGACUGUCUAGGCCAUUACUGACACUGAGGUACGAAAGCGUGGGGAGCAAACAGG